UACUCUCUGACAGAUGUGAAGAACAGGUU
RNAcentral lists this non-coding RNA (29 nucleotides) under Mus musculus (house mouse). RNAcentral also lists the same sequence under 1 other name. Lineage: Eukaryota; Metazoa; Chordata; Mammalia; Rodentia; Muridae. The record is from RNAcentral.